CUACAAUAUACUCUGUUUUUCAGACAAGCCACCAUGCUGUAAUUUUAGUAUCCUAUAUCUAUUCACUAGCUAGCAAUGGGUAGCAAUUGAGGUGAGGGGAAGGGGUCUGGCUCUCUCUUCUAUUUGGUUUUUGGGAUUUGGGGAUUGGAGACUUGGGAGUUUAGAUUUUUCAGAAGGGGUGCCCACGAAGGCACUUCAGUUGAUAU
This is a non-coding RNA of Pelobates cultripes (western spadefoot toad), 206 nucleotides long. The record is from the annotation of a GenBank genome assembly. NCBI's taxonomy places the organism in Eukaryota, Metazoa, Chordata, Amphibia, Anura, Pelobatidae.